GUGCUUGCUUUGGCAGCACAUAGACUAAAAUUGGAACCAUGUGGAGAUUAGUCUGGCCCCUGCACAAGGAUGAUGUGUACAUUCAUGAAGCACUACAACUGAUU
Suricata suricatta (meerkat) is the source of this 104-nucleotide small nuclear RNA. Lineage: Eukaryota; Metazoa; Chordata; Mammalia; Carnivora; Herpestidae. The record is from Ensembl.